UGAAAUCAAGUAGGAUUACCCGCUGAACUUA
RNAcentral lists this ribosomal RNA (31 nucleotides) under Syncephalastrum racemosum. RNAcentral describes it as "partial 28S ribosomal RNA". Lineage: Eukaryota; Fungi; Mucoromycota; Mucoromycetes; Mucorales; Syncephalastraceae. RNAcentral also lists the same sequence under 3 other names. The record is from RNAcentral.